UUUUUUAAUUAUGUUGUAUUUUAGGUUUC
This 29-nucleotide non-coding RNA is filed under the name Rattus norvegicus (Norway rat). Lineage: Eukaryota; Metazoa; Chordata; Mammalia; Rodentia; Muridae. The record is from RNAcentral.